CGAAAAAUGUGGAACGAACGAGGGGCAAUUUGAGGGAAGCCCAGAGAAUUGGCUGCGCCCGAGCCCCGGGAACGAGUUGGCGCCUAACUCGAUACAGUAAAGUUCGAAACAUUGCGUCACGAUCGCAUCGACCAAAUGAAACGAAUGUAAAGUAAUGCACUUUGGCACGUGCCGGAUAAAUGUGUGCUCGUCGAUGAGAAAUGCGCAUUUACAGAGACAUUCGCGAGUACAACGAGCGAUCGAUGGAAAAGUUAAUUAUCGAUGAGACUUUUUAAAGAGUGGCACAAUUACGCGCGAUAAAUGCGAGGCUCGGCGAGGAGAAAAAACCGAUUUGACGGCUCGCCGUCGGCCAGCAUAUCGGGGCAAGAAUAUCCUCGAAAUAGAAAUUUGAGGAAAAUCGAAUGGAAGGAGGAAACGAAUGGCGCGUGGAUCGACGGCUGCUAUCGAUUAAAUAAAUAAAUAAAAAACUCGAAGGAGAUGAUAAAACGGGACUUACCCAAAAGUAAGCAAGUUUCUCAGCGCUUUCUUCCGAGCUGAUCGAUUCCGAUUGGCGUUCGACUGCCUCCAGGAGACGUUGGAGCUUCUCGAGUCCACUGUCUUCGCUGGACCUUCGUUUUCGGCCGCUGCGCACAAAAGGGCGGAGAAUAAAUUCAUGAGGAUUUGGCACGCCAAGUUUUUUAUGAAGCUCCUAAUCGGAGGGAAAGGAAAUUGUAGAAGAGCUUCGACGAGUCUCCGGAAUCGAUGGACUUUCGUCGAUUCACGAUGCGAGAGACGGCAAAUCUCAUUUUUUCUCCUUAUUUUUAUUGCCCCUCGCCGCGCGCGAGUCUCCAGCAGAGUCCACAACUCGCGUUGACGCAAACGACGCGCUCGCAACGUGUGCUCUUCGCGCGCUUUCUAACACCUUCGUUAUUUUUCAAUUCUCGAAGCUUCCGCUCGCUCCCCAGAAUUGCAAAUUCGCCCCCUAACUCCAGAAUCCCCUCGAGACUAAUUUAUCCAAUUUUCUAUUCACGCAGCGGAACCGUGACCGCGGACGCGACCGAAGAAAGUGCUCGACGCCUUCGACAGCGAAAGUCCGGACGGAAGCUCCGGCCGACGGGAAGGAGAGUUCGCUCGGUUCCUUACUGGCGUUAUCGUCGCUCGGGGUGGCCUCCAACUGUACUUUUCCUCGCUCGCCUGACCUAACCCAAGAGACCGAGACGCGGAGGGUAAUCGGAGCCGAAUAGAUACGUACGAGAGCGAUCCACGAGCGCAGACGUCCGGCAAGACGAAAUUGAUUGUCCAACGGACCGGCAUGACGCUGAAGUUUCCAACGUUGGAGUCCAAUGAUCGAAAAAAACUCUCCAAUAAUUCCAGUAAUUCUCCUAUUUUGUUCCCUGCCAAAUUUGCGAUUCGUAGUUUUUCAAGCUGCACCAACGAUUCGCGAAAUAAAAAAUUGGUGAAUUACAAACGUUUUUUUCGUUCAUUUCGUUGGACUCCAACGUUGGAAACUUCAGCAUCGUCGGACCGGCGAUUCUGCUGGUCGAACCGAAAAGACGCAAGUUUCGCCCUCCGUUCGGUGCCCUUCGGUUCACCUUCGGAGGAAUAAUUUUCGAACGAUUUAUUCCCGUUCCGUAGAGAAAUUUCGCUCGUGCUUUAGGCUCGAUGGCACAAGUGAUUUUUUCAAUGCUCCUCGUCGCGUUUAUUUGACCGUGGAGAAUUGCUGAUUAGAUUUCACCGGCGUCCGGGCUCCCACACCGCCGUUUUUUUCAACGUUUUAAUAUACGCGAAUGAAAAGUCGUUGAGGACUCUUAAUAAAUGCCCCGAAGGCGUUCGAGUUUUGAGAUAACGCGCUUCGGGAGCCACCGAAUGGAAAUUUACUCGUCGAUUUUGUAUACGCUCUUUAACGCCCUUACGCGCAUCCCCCCCGUCGAGAAUCGCCCGUGAAAUACGCUUCUUAUUCAGCACAAAUUUAUACACCGCGCUGAUAGUCGCGCGGAAAUUUUUUUACUCGCUUUCCCUCCGGUCUGCUCUGCGGCGAGCGCGCGAGAAGAAGAGAACAACCGAAAGGAACGGUAACGCUCGGGUUCUCAUGUUCCUCCGCCUGCGCAACGAACCACCCCCUCGCUCCGUGUGUUUUUAUAUUCAAAGAAUGCUCGAUGCAGAUCAGCCACGAUCCUGGCACCGCGGUAAUGCAAUUUUUGACGUUUAUGUAAACGAUCCGACGAUUCGAAUCGUCUCAACUCCCCUUUUCCCACUUCGCGGGACCCUCAAUUUAUUAACUUUUCGUUCUGUCGCUUCUUGAGAAAACAAACUGGAAAUAAUGCUCUCGGGUUUUCCAUUUUUUACCGCCCCGUCGAGUGCCUUCGUUUCGUCCUAUUUGAGCGACGUUUUUCCCGUACUUUUUCCCUCUUUUUAAAGGAGCUUCAGAUUUUGGAAAAACGGGAAAAAUAUUCGGACUCAAAAGUGAUUUUUAUUCUCGUUUCUUUUGCCUAGUUUUGACUCAACUUCUCGUGUGUUACCGCACUCGGUGCAAGCAUUCGUGUCGCGUGCUUUCCCACACGAGCGAGGGGGCGAAACGUUUCGUGGGGAGAUGAAAGUACAGAUUGGAGAAAUGAGCGAAAACUUACAUUCUCGCGGGAUCGACGCGACCGAAUCCGACCGGAACGGUCACCAGCUUGCCUCGCAUUCGCGCGAGUGCCAACAGCGUCUCGAGCUCGGCGACACGUUGAUCCGAAACGCGUUUCUGUCUGCUGCUGAAAAAAUAACAAAAAACGUUGAAUCGCAGCAAUUCUGAUGUCAAAUUUUGCGAUGAAAUCCACACAAAAGUUAAGGAGAUUGGCGUGGAUCGGAGUCCGAUUGACCGAGAGCAGAGCGACACGAAUUUUUGUGAAUUUGCAUCGUCGCAACAUUUCAAGAGAAAAUCGAAGCCCAAAAAACCGAAAAAUGGUUGGAAGGUCGACGACCGGAAAAGUCGACAGAAAUAACUCGACUUGGGAAACAAUUCGACUGAAGAAACUUCAUACCCCGUUAAGAGUCUUUCUGCAGUAAACCUGCCGCGACAAUUUUCAAGAUAAAUACGCAGAGAAUGAACUUCCAACUUUUGAAAAAUCUCGAAACAAUGUUUUUUCCAUGAUUGACGUGUAAAAGGAAACCGCGAUCGCGCUCGCGAACGAGACGGCGCAAGUGUGCUCGGGCCUCGACAAUCCGUCUUAGCGACAAUCUCACCAGAUUGCAUCAGCAUUGCUGCGAACGCUUGGGCCGAGGUUAAAAAAUGCUGACUGGGACACAGUGCGAGUACGAAAGAAUAUAUGGAAAUCUCGCGUUUUAUGAAAACCUGGAGUGCAGUAUCCGAUUUUGAGAGGUUCAACGUGUCGAGCUUAUCGCAAAAUGGCAUUGAAAGAUCUUCGAAGCUCGUCGAUCGGUAUUUGGACCAAGCUCGAAUUCGAAGAUGCGCCAAAAUAUCGUGUGGAUUUACGAGCCUUCGCGAAGCUUUAUUCGAGAUGAAAAAUUCUAGUGGAAAUUAGGAACUAAUGAAACUGUACCUGACGAGCCCGGACGGUCUGGCGUGGGUGGAGUGCGGCAUGACAGCCGCGACGAGGACGAUCACGGCUACAUUUCUAAGAAGCCCACUCUGGACGAGUCUCGUGUGGAGAAAGUGACAGAUCGCGUUCGCACCGUUUGAGCAGAGUAGCGAUCCAUCGGACGAUAUUUGUGGAACGACACGUAAACGUGUCCGAGGAGUUAGUUGACCAGCAGAGCUGAUUGAGCUUCGUUGUGAGCGAUGCCGGAUGUCGCCAUUGGGAUUGGUCAAUUUUUCCUUUCACCAAAUAAAUCGAACGUGAUUCUCCCUCGAUUUCGUCUCUCCUCACGACAAUUAUUCGCGAUUUUGGACGAUCGUUUCAAAGAAAUUUCUCACUAAUUUGUUCAUUGGCCGAGGAUUUAUGGACCCGAAACGUCGAAAAAAUCGUUGGCUCGAGCACCAAUGGAGAGUCAAAUGAGCCAGAAACAGCUCAAGAAAAAAAUUCUCCACGAAAUCGUGGACAAAAUGUUUCUCGCAUAAAGAGAACCGUCGAGUUGGUUCUUUUUUUCCGAAACUGCGAAAAUCGUUGCUCAGUAUUGAGUAACAUUUUCGCCCGCCCCGCUCCCUUCUCUCGCUCCCGAUAACGAGCCAUCUCCCGUUAAUAUCUCGUCGCGAGCGCGCGCCUCUCCUCGUAUUAUAUGAGACUUUCACGCAAGUGACGUGAGGCACCACACACGAAGCGAAGUCAGUUAUUCCAUGAAACGAGCAUGACGUUUCUAAAUCAUGCGUGCUCUCUGUGCUUCUUCAUAUCUGACGUGUGCCAUUUUUUGUUUGUUUCCCUACACUCUCAAGCCCCAGCGACUACUCGUUUGUUUGUUUAAGAUUUGUUCCUUUCCCUGCAAUCUUCGUGAUGUCAUGGUAACUACCCAUCGAUUACACCUUUCAACAAGACUCAUAAAAAGGACGUCGUGGAAUAUUUAAAGUCAUAGAAAUUACGGCUCCUAUUUGAAAUACUGGAAGUACAAUGACCCGCUAAAUUCGAAGAGGAUCGAAGAUCCGGGCCUGAGCGAUUUGAACAGGAAAAUCGUGCGGUUUAACGUGGGCUCGGACCAGCCAAAGGCGGAGUGUUUCACAUGUUACGCAAAGAUUCCCAAAGUCUUUUAUAGGGGAGACCGGGGCAAAACGGGAUACCUAAGGAAAUAUUGAACUUUUCAGAAGUUUGGGAAGCUCUGUCUAUUUUUUACUCCCAAAAACUAAGAAAUGUACUGGAAUUUUGUUCAAUUAUCAAAAAAAAAAAAAGAUCCGAGGCGAAACGGGGUACUCCUCAAAAACUCAUGAAAUUUUUUUUACUAUGAUUUUAAUUCAAUGCACCUUGGGUGUAUUUUACACCCGUAACCGAGUGCUUCCGACUUAUCGCUGUAAGCGUUGAAAGCGAUCUCAGCGCGUACAACGCUCUAACGUACGUCGAACGCAUCUUCUGUAAUUCAAUUCAAAAUGAAUGAUAUGAAUAAUAUCGAAGAUUGCUAAUGUU
RNAcentral lists this long non-coding RNA (5030 nucleotides) under Venturia canescens. Its description in RNAcentral is "uncharacterized LOC122414113, transcript variant X2". Lineage: Eukaryota; Metazoa; Arthropoda; Insecta; Hymenoptera; Ichneumonidae. The record is from RNAcentral.